This 1482-nucleotide ribosomal RNA is filed under the name viral metagenome. RNAcentral's name for it is "bacterial LSU rRNA". It matches the Rfam family "Bacterial large subunit ribosomal RNA", at positions 1 to 2069 of the family's 2925-position model. The record is from RNAcentral.
AUGCUUUCCCACUUAGUGAUGACUUGGGGACCUUAGCUGUAGGUUAGGGCUGUUUCCCUUUUGACGACGGACCUUAGCACCCGCCGUCUGUCUGCCGGAUAAGACUCGAUGGUAUAAAUAAGAGAUCCUGCGGCGAAGAUGUAACGGGGGCUAAAGUGAUGCACGAAGCUUAGGGUUCAGUACUUGUACUGAGCGGUAGCGGAGCGUUCCGUAAGCUUCGGUGCAUCACUUUGGCCCCGGCGAUCUAGGCAUGGCCAGGUUGAAGGUGCGGUAACACGCACUGGAGGACCGAACCGGUGAAUGUUGAAAAAUUCUCGGAUGAGCUGUGUUUAGGGGUGAAAGGCCAAUCAAGCCGGGAAAUAGCUGGUUCUCCGCGAAAACUAUUGAGGUAGUGCCUCGGAUGUUUUCCUGUGGGGGUAGAGUCACUGGGAUGGAUGCGGGGGUCGCGGAGAUCUACCAAGCUCUAACCAAACUCCGAAUACCACAGAGUAUAGUCCCGGGAGACAGACGGCGGGUGCUAAGGUCCGUCGUCAAAAGGGGAAACAGCCCUAACCUACAGCUAAAGGUCCCCAAGUCACGUCUAAGUGGGAAAGCAUGUGGGACUUCCAAAACAACCAGGAGGUUGGCUUAGAAGCAGCCAUCCUUUAAAGAAAGCGUAACAGCUCACUGGUCUAAAUAAGGGUUUCUGCGCCGAAGAUGUAACGGGGCUCAAGCCACGAGCCGAAGCUUAGGGUGUGAUCCGCAAGGGUCACGCGGUAGCGGAGCGUUCUGUAAGCCUGCGAAGGGCGACCCGUGAGGGCGCCUGGAGGUAUCAGAAGUGCGAAUGCUGGCAUGAGUAACGACAAACACUGUGAAAGACAGUGUCGCCGAAAGUCCAAGGGUUCCUGCGUAAAGUUAAUCUUCGCAGGGUUAGCCGACCCCUAAGGCGAGGCCGAAAGGCGUAGUCGAUGGGAAUGCAGUGAAUAUUCUGCAGCCAGUGGAUGGUGACGAAUCCAGUAUGUUGUCCGACCUUAAUGGAUUGGUCGGGCCUCGAAUGGGUUCCAGGAAAUAGCCUCCACAUCAGAUCGUACCCGAAACCGACACAGGUGGACUGGUAGAGUAUACCAAGGCGCUUGAGAGAACUAUGUUGAAGGAACUCGGCAAUUUACCUCCGUAACUUCGGGAUAAGGAGGCCCAUUGCAUGCGCAAGCAUGCAGUGGGGGCACAGACCAGGGGGUGGCAACUGUUUAACAAAAACACAGGGCUCUGCGAAAUCGCAAGAUGACGUAUAGGGUCUGACGCCUGCCCGGUGCCGGAAGGUUAAGAGGAGAGGUGCAAGCCUUGAAUCGAAGCCCCGGUAAACGGCGGCCGUAACUAUAACGGUCCUAAGGUAGCGAAUUCCUUGUCGGGUAAGUUCCGACCUGCACGAAUGGCGUAAUGACUUCCCCGCUGUCUCCAACAUAGACUCAGUGAAAUUGAAUUCCCCGUGAAGAUGCGGGGUUC